GGGACCGUGCAGGCGAGGCCGCUCCAGUCUCCAGAGAGAGCUCCUGUUUCUACAGCGACUCUCCCAGCACCCGCUUUCUCUCCCGCCCCCCGCCCUCUGGCCGCUAGGGAGGGAGACUUGGGAAAGGCACCAGAGGUUAGGCGGGUGCCGCUGGGCUCCUCCAGGGUUUUGCUGAGUGCGAUCCAGGGCUUCCUGUUCCUUGUCGCAGCGCAGUUGGGGUGUAGGGGCAGCGCUCCAGGGCCUACGUGCUGGCAUCUGUUUCCGAGCCCGAACCUGGCCGCACACCGAACUCGCGUCCCCCUUGCCACGUGGGCUUGGUCACAGAGGGGACGAACACCCUCAAGGCCCUGUGCCAGGUAAUUACCAAGCAAAUUCCAGGCGACUGACCGCCCCCCCUCCCGCCCCCAGCACCUGCUGUGUGUUCCCUGAUUCGGGCCCGCUGUGCAAUCAGCUCAGAUAACCUGCGGGGACCCGCAAUUGCUCUGGAGUUGCCAGACUUUGCAAGGUAGAUGGUGGGUGUCGGGCUCUGUGUGUGGAAAAGUGGGAGCACCUUCCUCAGGAGAGAGGCUGAAGAGAGCCCUGCUGCCUAUGUGCGGAAGACUGCAACAUCCAUGCUGAGGCUGCUUCUGUCUUUCCAGGAGGUCCUGAGUGUAUGGAUCCAAGUCUGGUCUAAGGACAGUGGGAUGACAUCCUAGGGUGAUGCUGUCAGGAACAUGUUCAGACUUAGGAUGAGGAAGAAAAUGCUUUUAGAAUCACAGGUGGAAAUAUCUGUGUCUUUGUCCUUCUUGAUCCCUUACUUACUGGAAAGGAACAGAGAAUUCUGAAUACAUCCUUUCUAAGAAGGUGUUCCUGGUAAACUAGCUCCCAGAGUCUGAGAAUGCAAGUCUAUCUGAAGUGUGGAAUCCAAUUGCCCCAACUGUAGAGGGCCCCUGUAGGUGGGAGAAUUCACUGGGGGUGGGUAGUACAUCCUUUCCCCUGAUUCUCUAUCCCUGACAAUCUGGCAGCCUGAAAUGUGUUUUGACAAAGGGCAUUCUUUGUGUUCUGACUGAGAGGGUGAUUUGUGGAUAUCCUGACUUCACCUGUUUUACUGGAAGCCCAAAGAAUGAAGCAGAUAACAGAAGAGAGGAAAUGAAGGAGGAGGCGAGAUGAGUGUGUUAAAGAGAGGCCCAGAGUCCCUAUUUCCUCCAUUCCUCCCACAAAUGACCUCAUUUAUUAUGGAAAAGGUUUAACUGAUAUUGAGUCAUAACAUGCAAGGGGGAGAAAGAGCCCAAUCAAUAUCCCUCUGGAGCCCCUGGAGAUGGCGGAUUGCUAGGAGUAGGUAGGCGGGGAGCAGAGAGGGAGGAGAGGAAAGCAUUUGGAAGAUGAUCUGGCCUAAGAAGUGGCUCUGGAGCAUCUGUGCUUUUGUUAGCCGUGGAACACGCACAUCUAAUCUCAAUUAACUUCUGCCACCAUCUCCAAUUCAGUUUCUCCGUUCUCACCAGUAGGGAGAUCUUAGCUGCAAGAGAUGAGGUGGGGGAGACCUCACAUUACCAAAUGAAAGGACCAGAUGGGCUGGCCCUGCCAGGGCAGAGAUGGUAGGGCAGAGGCAGAAACAGCAGUUGGGCUAUUUCCCCAAGCUCUUGCCCCUGUCUCUGGCUCUUUCAGUCUAAGCUUAUCAGAGGAAAUUGGACUGAUCUCUGGUCUUUGUGCUGAGGGCUUGGGAGGGUCUUUAUUAAAUCCUAAGUGGAAUCCCUUUACAAACACUGUGUUUACGCACUGAAAAGCCAUUGUAGGACUGAGUUCCAGUGUUCUAUGUGUGGAACUUAGAUGGGGUCCCCGGACUACUUUUCUGGGCCUUAAUGUCGUCUCCUCAACAAAGAAAGAAUUUGACUAGGGGAUCUACAGCUGCAUGUCUAACAGGCAAUAGCCACUAGUGACAUCCAGCUGUUUGAAUGUAAAGUAAUUAAAAUUAAAUUUAUUAAAAGAUUCAGCUCCUCAGUCACACUGCCACAUUUUAAAUGCUGAGUAACCACCCAUGGCUAGUGGCUAUUGGUCAGACUGAGUAAAUAUGGAAUAUGUCCAUCAUCCUAAAAGUUUUGUUGGACAGUACUUACCUAUAAGAUCUCUUGCAGUUCUGCCAUUUUGUUAUUCUAGGAUUGUCUGUUAUUAAGAGUCUUGAUGGAUCAGUUCCCUUGUCUCUGUGAGCUCCUUCUUCCAGAUAUGUCCUCUCCUCUGCCACCUCAUGCACAGCACACUGUACACACAAGCACAUACUCAGUGUUCGCUUCCAUUAGGGCAGUUGAGAGAUCUGAUAGUCUGGCUUAAGAGCAGUGAAGAAGAGGUAUCUGCACUCUCAUUUGUAUUGCAGCAUGAUUUAUAGCAGCCCAAACAGAAAAGUCACUGAGUGUCCACUGAAAGGUAAGCUAAUGAAGAAGACGAGGUGCAGAUACAUGAUGAAAUACUAUUCUUCCUUUAAAAAGAAGGAAAUCUUGCCAUUAGCAGCAGCAUUAGUGAACCUUCAGGACAUGAUGCUAAGUGGAAAAAAUCAGAUGCAGAAAGACAAAUAUUACCUGAUCUCAGUUCUGGGUGAAAUCUAAGAAAGUCAAACUCACUGAGAGAGUUGGAUGGUAGUUACCACAGACAAGAGAAGAAAAAGAGGAGAUGUCGGUUAAAGGUACAAACUUGCAUUUAUAAAAAAAUUAAUUCUGGAGAGCUAGUGUGUGGUAUGGUGACUAGAGUUCAUAGUCACGUGUUAUAAGCUUGAGCUAUACUUUGGUAAGAGACGUCUAUCGAAAUACCACAUUGUAAACCUUCCACAUACACAAUUGUUACUUGUUAGUUGUACCUCACAAAAGCUGGAAGAAAACAACUGCAAGUGACAAUUCAGUGUUGCUCCUGACUUUUAAUUAAAUGGCAUGGACUUUAAACUUCGUGAAUUUGUACACUGCACAAACACUUCCUGAGUGCAUAUUGUGUGUCAGGCAUUGCUCCAAGUGGGACUGGAUACGGAAUUUGGGGAAGAUCCUGGAUUUUACACAAUUUCUUGGAGAUGAGGAGGCGUGGGCUGUGUGAGUGGCAGUGUUCUCUUGCCCGUGAGGCUGUGCAGAGUGACUGGCAGAUGCAGCUUUGCCCUUGGGGGCUUGCACUUUGCAAACAACUGGCCGUCACAGAUUCUUGACAUAAACAUU
Molecule: long non-coding RNA, 3167 nt
Organism: Chinchilla lanigera (long-tailed chinchilla)
Lineage: Eukaryota; Metazoa; Chordata; Mammalia; Rodentia; Chinchillidae
Exons: 3
Source: RefSeq, a predicted model, not a curated record